UACUCGCGGUCCAAGUCGCAGCCAUUUUUAUUGGGUCUAAAACAUCCGUAGCUUGCUUUGCAAGUUUUUUGUGAAAUCCCGUUUCUCAAGGGCGGGGCGAGCAAAAAAUACUACAGAGCUAGAGACUGGAAGACGUAAGAAGUAUGUUCGAAGUAGCGGUAAAAUGUGUUAAUCUCGGACAGACUAACAAGAGCGAAGGCAUCUUACGAGGACAGUUCUGACAGUAAGGGAUGAAGGCCAGGGGCGCAAAAGG
RNAcentral lists this ribosomal RNA (253 nucleotides) under uncultured archaeon. Its description in RNAcentral is "partial 16S ribosomal RNA". It matches the Rfam family "Archaeal small subunit ribosomal RNA", at positions 474 to 726 of the family's 1478-position model. The record is from RNAcentral.